GUGGGGAAUUUUGGACAAUGGGCGCAAGCCUGAUCCAGCAAUGCCGCGUGCAGGAAGAAGGCCUUCGGGUUGUAAACUGCUUUUGUACGGAACGAAAAGGCUCUGGUUAAUACCUGGGGCUCAUGACGGUACCGUAAGAAUAAGCACCGGCUAACUACGUGCCAGCAGCCGCGGUAAUACGUAGGGUGCAAGCGUUAAUCGGAAUUACUGGGCGUAAAGCGUGCGCAGGCUGUUUUGUAAGACAGAGGUGAAAUCCCCGGGCUCAACCUGGGAAUUGCCUUUGUGACUGCAAGGCUGGAGUGCGGCAGAGGGGGAUGGAAUUCCGCGUGUAGCAGUGAAAUGCGUAGAUAUGCGGAGGAACACCGAUGGCGAAGGCAAUCCCCUGGGCCUGCACUGACGCUCAUGCACGAAAGCGUGGGGAGCAAACAGGAUUAGAUACCCCGGUAGUCC
Molecule: ribosomal RNA, 450 nt
Filed under: uncultured bacterium
Lineage: Bacteria
Description: partial 16S ribosomal RNA
Rfam family: Bacterial small subunit ribosomal RNA
Source: RNAcentral